RNAcentral lists this ribosomal RNA (279 nucleotides) under uncultured bacterium. Its description in RNAcentral is "partial 16S ribosomal RNA". It matches the Rfam family "Bacterial small subunit ribosomal RNA", at positions 506 to 784 of the family's 1533-position model. The record is from RNAcentral.
UGCCAGCAGCCGCGGUAAUACGGAGGGUGCAAGCGUUAUCCGGAUUUAUUAGGUUUAAAGGGUCCGUAGGCGGAAAUUUAAGUCAGUGGUGAAAGCCCAUAGCUCAACCAUGGAACUGCCAUUGAAACUGUUAGUCUUGAAUUCGGUCGAAGUGGGCGGAAUGUGUCAUGUAGCGGUGGAAUGCAUAGAUAUGACACAGAACACCGAUAGCGAAGGCAGCUCACUAGGCCUGAAUUGACGCUCAGGGACGAAAGCGUGGGGAGCGAACAGGAUUCGAUA